UACGGAGGAUCCUAGCGUUAUCCGGAUUUAUUGGGUUUAAAGGGUGCGUAGGCGUCUCAACAAGUUUUCGGUGAAAUCCUCAGGCUUAACCUGGGAACUGCCGAGAAAACUGUUGGGAUUGAGUACAGUUGAAGUGGGCGGAAUGUGUCAUGUAGCGGUGAAAUGCAUAGAUAUGACACAGAACACCGAUUGCGAAGGCAGCUCACUAAUCUGCCACUGACGCUGAGGCACGAAAGCGUGGGGAU
This 245-nucleotide ribosomal RNA is filed under the name uncultured bacterium. RNAcentral describes it as "partial 16S ribosomal RNA". It matches the Rfam family "Bacterial small subunit ribosomal RNA", at positions 524 to 768 of the family's 1533-position model. The record is from RNAcentral.